UAUUCACACCGAUCCAUACACUGAUGACAGGAGCUACACAAAGCCGCCUUAUUCUGCCAUCAGUACUAUGAUUCAUUAACAUUCACCAACCUCAUGCUCAGCAUGAUGUUAGUAGACUAUAUACUUGGGACUCUAUGUAUGGUGUUGUCGUUCUGACAAUCAUUAAGUCAAAAUGUAAAUGUGUCCAGCACUUUGGCUCAUGAAACAACACAACCGGCAGUUUAGCAUUGUUAUACAUUCACAUGGUAACCACCGAUAUCACCUAAAGCUGGAGGAAACAUGCCACAAAAUUAAAAAUACACACUUGUGUUUUUUGUGCUCCAAAACUUGUGCUCCACAACUCUUGGAUUUGAGUGAGUGGAGGCUCCGUUUCGAGAUUAGUCUUGUUGAUUAUUUCAGAACAAGGCCUUCCUCUGUGUCAAGGAACGGGACAAAUUGAACUCCAGAUAAUCCACAAGAUCCUAAAAGCCACCGGCGUUCUCACAAAUCAUGUAGACAUUGCAGCAAGCAUGUGUAUGGGAUUUGUUACCUUCAAUGCAACGUGUGUGCCUCCAGGAUGGUUUGGCUGAACCCUUGUUAGUGGGAGUGCAUGGUUGUUGGCGUGGCCUGGGGUUACCAACUGGGGUCAACACAACUACAGGAACGAAUCACAUCACACACACACACACGACAGAAUGAAAUGUAGGUGUGCAUUCUGAAACUAAGUUCAAUCCAAUUGAGUCACAUUUUGUAUGUGAAACAAUCAGGAAUCAGGAAUCAGGGAACAUUUAUUGCCAAAAUAUGUCAAACCUACAAGGAAUUUGUCUUGGCGGUUGGUGCGUGACAGUAGACACAAAACAGACAAUAGACAACAAGACAACAACCAAUGUAAUCGUCAGCUUGAAUUUCUGAGUAACCACAAUCAGAAGGUUUUUAAAAGGCGCCUUUCAAUAUUCCAGAUAACAUCUUUAUGCCUUAGAGCUUUAAAACCUCCUCUCCUUCAUGUUAUUUUCCCAUUUCUUUCUGUAUUCUCUCUCUCUGCUCUCCCCUCUGUCAACACAUCUGAGGUUAUUUAUCUUCCAUUCUGUGGCAGAAAUGUGGUCCGCAUGUGUUUGGCUUCCCUCCACUCAGAACUCAUCUGUAGUCCACCUAGGAGUCACUAGUGGACCGUAGCAGACCUACCAAGCAAACAAGUGUUCGAGCCACACUAGAUAUGUGCCACACUGAUGGUUAGGGAUUUCUAAGUAUAUCCUUGCUCAUGCACAAAACAUUACUCCAUCUUCUGCUAACGACGUAUCUCACAUUUGACCCAAAGUUCUGUUGUAAACGUGCAGGCAGACCUUUCCCCCUUCAUUUCUAUUGGGUGAACGAUCGACAGCACGACCUGCAGGAAUUAGAGGGUCUAAAUGGAAUAUUGGGGUUGCUUAAACCUAUGGAAUUGCAUUACUCUGACCUUUAAACUUUUAAUCUCAAUGUUAUUUAAUACUCUGGAAGGAGUCUAGACCCUGGAAAACAUGAUGUUAGAAAAAGAUCAACCUAGAUACCACAGUGGAGACAUGCAGGGGUUUAGGAGGUUUCACUUAUGUAUUAACAGGCCUUGUUUUGUCUGGUUGAAUGGAACCAUCUGUAUGGUUUUCAUAUCCAGCUGGUCUACACAGCAACACAUCGUCCUCUCGCUUGGACCCUACAACUAUAACUGAAAGUCCUGAAAAGUAAUCACUCUUCUGGAAACAUGCCGUUUUUGAAAAGGCAGAGAUCGACUGUUUGUACGACUCAUAUAAAAUAUUAGUAGAACCUUUGACUCAGACAUGAACUAAAUUUAAAAACUAAUCGCAUUUUAGUAAAUAAAAUGUAAAUAAGGAAUACUGUUGGUACAACUAGUCACUGCACGCACUGCUAACACAUGCAAGCAAGAGAAUUUAUGCCUGACUCUUAAUUAAAUCCUAUCGUGAUACACUAUUAUUCUCAUUGAGGCACAUUCUAACACACAAAGCCACAAGUGCUUUGCAGAGAUAAAUAAACAAUUUAGCAUUUACGUUAAAAAGCCAUCUGACACUAAUUUGUGAUUUGGGGCAAUACAAAAGAAAUUGAAUGGAAAAUGAAAUUGAAUCAUGAUUUGGGGAUUUUCUUUUUCUUAAUUGUGCUGGUUUUCAUUUGUGAUUGGGCUGUAAACUGGCAAACCGCCUGGAGCAUUUACCCCCUUAAUGCAGUUUGUUUGGGUGCAUCAACUAACCGCUGCCUGGUCUCUCUAUCAUUGUUGGUGCUGGCGGACCGUGACUCACCGCUCCCUCAACGGGAGCCUCUAAGUACCCCCCGGGCUUGUCCGGUUGAGUCUACUGAAACUCCCUGGGGGAUCCAUUAAGGACCAAGGGACCCAAGACCUCUCUUCUACUGGUCUACUGGACUACUGGUAGCCUCGACCACGACAACGUACAUACAGGAGCCAUCAACCCAAGAAGGCAGGAUGAUUGAUGGAAGGCACUGAUUGAAUGUCGGAUGGAUCGUCAUUGUCAAGCAGUUUCAGUCUGAGAGCUGUUGGAGCUCCACCUAGAUUCUAGAUUGAGUUAACGGUAUAGUUUUGGAAGACAGGUAACUGCAGCUACCACACAGGGUGGAGGAAAGAUAGUGACUUGAUUGGACAGAGAAUCCUCCGAGACAUACUGUCGAGUGAGGGCAUCUGGAACCAGGUAUAGGUGGGUGUUCAACAACAACGCCCUGUGUGUAACUGCCUGGCUUUUUUCCUUGUUAGCAUCUAGCUUCGAUACAAUAGGCCCUGAAACGCACAGUCUGCUUAGUUUUGGCAAAAUAUUGGUAUGAUAUUUUGGUGUGUGGUAGAAUUUUCAGGGAUCACAGGGCUUUGUUCCUCAUGGGCCUCAGGUUGUAAAUAGUGUGUGAUGGGAAACUGGAGACAGUGUGGGUAAAAAACGGCGGGAAAGUGAACAACGACAGGAGGUAAUAUAAGAAGUAUGGUUUGGUAGUCUACAAAAUAAAACCAGAUUUGAAGUGCACCAUAGUCGUGAAAGUGUGGAAAAAGAAACGGCACAUUAAGGAGUCAGAUGAUGAAUGCAAGGGCUUUAUUUAUUUCUUCAGCAUAAUAGAAACAACACAUCCAUAAAGCACUGCAGUACAAAGUAGAACGGAAAAGACGCUUUAUGUUGUUGUAUUAAGUGAUAUGUGGCAAGUGGUUUCCCUUUGAUAGUGGCUGCCUUCGUUUCUCCGUCAGACUAGUGCACCGAGUAUAGAGACAUUUCAAAGCUUCAGCGAACUUAAAAAAAAAAAGAGCAGAAAAAUAAAUACUGUACAACACCAUAUGUAAUACUAGAUUCAAAGAUCACAACAAGAUCACACUUUCCUCAACAGAACACUUUGUAUAUACACUUUCACAGAACAAUGCAGCGUUUCUGGUUUGUUUCCCUCCAUAAUAGCAGUAUCAACAAAUGGCCAAUAGGAGUAGUGAUUUUUGUUUGUCUAUUUGUGUGUGUAUAUAUAUAUAUAUAUAUAUACGCCAUA
Gasterosteus aculeatus aculeatus (three-spined stickleback) is the source of this 3489-nucleotide long non-coding RNA. The record is from Ensembl. Lineage: Eukaryota; Metazoa; Chordata; Actinopteri; Perciformes; Gasterosteidae.